RNAcentral lists this ribosomal RNA (1407 nucleotides) under uncultured bacterium. RNAcentral's name for it is "bacterial SSU rRNA". It matches the Rfam family "Bacterial small subunit ribosomal RNA". The record is from RNAcentral.
AGAGUUUGAUCCUGGCUCAGGAUGAACGCUAGCGACAGGCUUAACACAUGCAAGUCGAGGGGCAGCGGUGGUGAAGGCUUGCCUUUACCAGCCGGCGACCGGCGCACGGGUGAGUAACACGUAUGCAACCUGCCUGCCACGGCCGGAUAAUCGGGAGAAAUCCCGUCUAAUACGGCAUAAUGCAUCGACGGGACAUCCUGUUGGUGCCAAAGGUUGAUUCCGGUGGCGGAUGGGCAUGCGUCGCAUUAGUUAGUUGGCGGUGUAACGGACCACCAAGACGACGAUGCGUAGGGGUUCUGAGAGGAAGGUCCCCCACACUGGUACUGAGACACGGACCAGACUCCUACGGGAGGCAGCAGUGAGGAAUAUUGGUCAAUGGGCGGGAGCCUGAACCAGCCAAGUCGCGUGAGGGAUGACGGCCCUAUGGGUUGUAAACCUCUUUUGCCGGGGAGCAAAGUGCCGCACGUGUGCGGUUUGGAGAGUACCCGGAGAAAAAGCAUCGGCUAACUCCGUGCCAGCAGCCGCGGUAAUACGGAGGAUGCGAGCGUUAUCCGGAUUUAUUGGGUUUAAAGGGUGCGUAGGCGGACGCUUAAGUCAGCGGUAAAAUUGCGGGGCUCAACCUCGUCGAGCCGUUGAAACUGGGUGCCUUGAGUGGGCGAGAAGUACGCGGAAUGCGUGGUGUAGCGGUGAAAUGCAUAGAUAUCACGCAGAACUCCGAUUGCGAAGGCAGCGUACCGGCGCCCAACUGACGCUGAAGCACGAAGGCGUGGGUAUCGAACAGGAUUAGAUACCCUGGUAGUCCACGCAGUAAACGAUGAAUGCUAGUUGUCCGGGGCGAUUGAGUUCUGGGUGACACAGCGAAAGCGUUAAGCAUUCCACCUGGGGAGUACGCCGGCAACGGUGAAACUCAAAGGAAUUGACGGGGGCCCGCACAAGCGGAGGAACAUGUGGUUUAAUUCGAUGAUACGCGAGGAACCUUACCCGGGCUUGAAUUGCAGAUGACGGAUCCAGAGAUGGUGACUUCCUUCGGGACAUCUGUGAAGGUGCUGCAUGGUUGUCGUCAGCUCGUGCCGUGAGGUGUCGGCUUAAGUGCCAUAACGAGCGCAACCCCUUUCGUCAGUUGCCAUCGGGUAAUGCCGGGCACUCUGGCGACACUGCCGCCGCAAGGUGUGAGGAAGGUGGGGAUGACGUCAAAUCAGCACGGCCCUUACGUCCGGGGCGACACACGUGUUACAAUGGGUGGUACAGCGGGAAGCCAGGCGGCGACGCCGAGCGGAACCCGAAAUCCACUCUCAGUUCGGAUCGGAGUCUGCAACCCGACUCCGUGAAGCUGGGUUCGCUAGUAAUCGCGCAUCAGCCACGGCGCGGUGAAUACGUUCCCGGGCCUUGCACACACCGCCCGUCAAG